RNAcentral lists this ribosomal RNA (363 nucleotides) under uncultured bacterium. RNAcentral's name for it is "partial 16S ribosomal RNA". It matches the Rfam family "Bacterial small subunit ribosomal RNA", at positions 338 to 698 of the family's 1533-position model. The record is from RNAcentral.
CCUACGGGAGGCAGCAGUGAGGAAUAUUGGUCAAUGGACGCAAGUCUGAACCAGCCAUGCCGCGUGCAGGAAGACGGCUCUAUGAGUUGUAAACUGCUUUUGUACGAGGGCAAACGCAGAUACGUGUCCCCGUCUGAAAGUACCUUACGAAUAAGCAUCGGCUAACUCCGUGCCAGCAGCCGCGGUAAUACGGAGGAUUCAAGCGUUAUCCGGAUUUAUUGGGUUUAAAGGGUGCGUAGGCGGUCGGGUAAGUUGGGUGUGAAAUCCCGGGGCUCAACCUCGGAAUUGCAUAUGAUACUGUUCGGCUAGAGAGUAGGUGCGGGAGGCGGAAUGUAUGGUGUAGCAGUGAAAUGCUUAGAGAGC